AAGAAAGAGAAAAUUUUUGUUAGCUAUACAUUUAAUGAGGAUUAACAGCUAGAAUAUACAAAGAAAUAAAAAAAUAAGAAAUAGCCCAAUCACAAAACUGAUUUUGUAACUGAACAAUGUUCUCAAAAGAAGAAAUUCAAACAGUUAGUAAAUGUUUUCUAAAAUCUUCAACAUCUUCACCUUUCAGGGAAAAUAAGAAAUUGCUUUAAUAUUUCUUCUCACCCCAGAAUGGCCAUCAUCAAGAGAACAGUAAAUGCAGGACAUCUUACCUGCUCUGGGUCCCAGAAGAAAGUGUGGAAAGGCUGAAUGCUGGAGUGUGAGGAGGAGUAAAGAGAAGCUCUGCUUCUGGUCUGACAUGACUGAUGCAAUCAUGGACACAGCUGCUGUGACUACCUCCACAAGCCCUGCAGAAGAAAGACAGGAGAGUGGGUGAAAGCAGAGGAGAAGGAACAAAGUUACAAACAAAGGAAUUAAGAGAAUUGGAAGGAAGAGUAAAAGGAAAACACAGACAUGUUAGAUUUAUUCUGAGUGCCUGGUAAUGAAGUGGUUGCAUGUUCCCUCUUAAAGAAAAAGUUACAGUCACAUUCAUCCAUUACAAACGAAGACCUGACAAUAAGUUGGGAAUGGCUUAUUUUCUCACAAGCAGGUAACAGGUGGAGCCUUGACUGAGGAGCUCAGGAGCAUUUGAAUUGGAGCAUCUGACAGCUCUUUCUCAUUUUCAAAGACCUCAACUGGUGCUGGGACUUUAGCUCUUCCUUUCCAUUUUCGGAAAGGAGGGAGGGCAGGGGAACUGGAAGGGAAGGCCUUUUGACUGAAGCAGCCCUUUAAAGAACUUUCCAAAAAGAGCCAGUCUGUCAC
This is a long non-coding RNA of Peromyscus eremicus (cactus mouse), 858 nucleotides long. RefSeq lists it as uncharacterized. Lineage: Eukaryota; Metazoa; Chordata; Mammalia; Rodentia; Cricetidae. The record is from RefSeq and is a predicted model, not a curated record. The transcript has 4 exons.